ACGUGUCCACCCGAUGCAGCAGCAGAUGGGCCACAUUUACGGCCAGGUCAACACAAUGGCUGGAGAUAUGACGCGCCUGCGUGAGCAAGUUUCGGCGUAUGAUGCUCGCCUUGACUCUUACAACCACCAUCUCGCCAACAAUGACAACAGUAUUCAGUCCCUCCAAGCACAGUGGGCCGCUUUCUCCUUGCAGCAUCGUGACCAAUUCGCCCCACCCCCGCCCCCACCUCCGGGACCACAGUGAGCUAUCCCUCUUCAUUUCUCUUUUUCUUUUUGUUUUGUUCUGUUUUUCCUUUUUAUUUGUGUCUGCCUUGUUUUCCUUUCGUUUUCUCGUGUUUGCUGUUAUUGCCCUGAGGACAGUGCUCGUUUUUGUGUGGGGAGGGGUGUGUGCUUGUUUUGAAAUGUAUGCUGUUGGGUUCUGGAUUGUUGGUUUUGGGCAAAUGGCCUCCUUGCGCUGAUUAAUUACUUGUCUUUGAGUUCACCCUUGGUCUUGACAUUGGUUUGCCAGUGAUUCUGGAACUGCAUUGGUUUUGGUUGUUGUCCUUGUUUGUCGCGAUUGACAUUUACCUAAGUAGUGUUAUGGGUUUAAUAUCUUAGAUGCAACAACUUGAUGAGCAACUCUUGACGUGAUUUGUCCGGUAGAUGCUAGGGGGAGUGUUUUCAUUGUAAUUGCCUAAUUUCUUAUCUCUUGUUGAAACGUGGUUUGUUUAUUGAGUUCUUGAUGGCUCUGGGUCUCUGCUCCUCUGAUGGUGACAUUAUGAGCAUGGGAAACCACGCGGGAACAUUUUGGUUUACCUCCAAAAAUUGCAAAUCUCGUGAAAUACGACCUAUUUGUCAAAAAAAAAAAAUAAAAGAGAUUUGAUUGUAAAGGCGGUUACAUUAGGAAAUUCACCCCUAGCGGAGAACUGGGUUUGAUCGGAUUGAGUUGUAUCAUUUUGUUGUUGCCUC
RNAcentral lists this long non-coding RNA (948 nucleotides) under Salvia miltiorrhiza (redroot sage). Its description in RNAcentral is "long non-coding RNA (SMIL_LNC010006)". Lineage: Eukaryota; Viridiplantae; Streptophyta; Magnoliopsida; Lamiales; Lamiaceae. The record is from RNAcentral.